RNAcentral lists this ribosomal RNA (514 nucleotides) under uncultured bacterium. RNAcentral describes it as "partial 16S ribosomal RNA". It matches the Rfam family "Bacterial small subunit ribosomal RNA", at positions 28 to 523 of the family's 1533-position model. The record is from RNAcentral.
GAUGAACGCUGGCGGCGUGCCUAAUACAUGCAAGUCGAGCGAAUGGAUUAAGAGCUUGCUCUUAUGAAGUUAGCGGCGGACGGGUGAGUAACACGUGGGUAACCUGCCCAUAAGACUGGGAUAACUCCGGGAAACCGGGGCUAAUACCGGAUAACAUUUUGAACCGCAUGGUUCGAAAUUGAAAGGCGGCUUCGGCUGUCACUUAUGGAUGGACCCGCGUCGCAUUAGCUAGUUGGUGAGGUAACGGCUCACCAAGGCAACGAUGCGUAGCCGACCGGAGAGGGGGAUCGGCCACACUGGGACUGAGACACGGCCCAGACUCCUACGGGAGGCAGCAGUAGGGAAUCUUCCGCAAUGGACGAAAGUCUGACGGAGCAACGCCGCGUGAGUGAUGAAGGCUUUCGGGUCGUAAAACUCUGUUGUAGGGAAGAACAAGUGCUAGUUGAAUAAGCUGACACCUUGACGGUACCUAACCAGAAAGCCACGGCUAACUACGUGCCAGCCGCCGCAGUAA